AGAAUCAACGCUGGCGGCGUGCCUAACACAUGCAAGUCGCACGAGAAAGGGGAGCAAUCCCUGAGUAAAGUGGCGCACGGGUGAGUAACACGUGAAUCAUCUACCUCCGAGUGGGGAAUAACCUAGAGAAAUCUGGGCUAAUACCGCAUAACACUUACGAGUCAAAGCAGUAAUGCGCUUGGAGAGGAGUUCGCGGCAGAUUAGCUAGUUGGCGGGGUAAUGGCCCACCAAGGCGAUGAUCUGUAUCCGGCCUGAGAGGGCGCACGGACACACUGGAACUGAAACACGGUCCAGACUCCUACGGGAGGCAGCAGUGGGGAAUUUUGCGCAAUGGGGGAAACCCUGACGCAGCAACGCCGCGUGGAGGAUGACGCCCCUUGGGGUGUAAACUCCUUUCGAUCGGGAAGAUGAUGACGGUACCGAUAUAAGAAGCCCCGGCUAACUUCGUGCCAGCAGCCGC
This 460-nucleotide ribosomal RNA is filed under the name uncultured bacterium. Its description in RNAcentral is "SSU rRNA". It matches the Rfam family "Bacterial small subunit ribosomal RNA", at positions 26 to 518 of the family's 1533-position model. The record is from RNAcentral.